UCCCUGGUGGCCUGGUGGGUUAAGGAUCCAACACUGUCACUGUUGUGGCUUGGGUUCGAUUCCUGGCCCAGGAA
Molecule: transfer RNA, 74 nt
Filed under: Sus scrofa (pig)
Lineage: Eukaryota; Metazoa; Chordata; Mammalia; Artiodactyla; Suidae
Rfam family: tRNA
About the family: Transfer RNA (tRNA) molecules are approximately 80 nucleotides in length.
Source: Rfam by way of RNAcentral